This 277-nucleotide unclassified non-coding RNA is filed under the name Hevea brasiliensis (rubber tree). The record is from RNAcentral. Lineage: Eukaryota; Viridiplantae; Streptophyta; Magnoliopsida; Malpighiales; Euphorbiaceae.
CAUCAUUGCAUCAUGCAAUCUAACAGACCUUGUCCAGGAAGCAACAAAAUGACACAUUCCUUUUGAUUAUAAAGAUAAAAGGAUCGGUACUUGGAAUAGGGGGUGUGGAAUUGUUAUAGUCCAAAAAGGGGGAAAUAGGGUAAAGGAAUAUACAUAUAUUUGUGUGUGUAUCCUUGAAAGCUUGCAGCAUACGUUGAGCAUACGUUGCCUUUAGAUAUUCCACAAUGUCAGCACUUUCAAACAUCUGGACCCCAGUAUUUGGAUCUUCCAAAUAUGG